RNAcentral lists this unclassified non-coding RNA (1405 nucleotides) under Hevea brasiliensis (rubber tree). Lineage: Eukaryota; Viridiplantae; Streptophyta; Magnoliopsida; Malpighiales; Euphorbiaceae. The record is from RNAcentral.
UCCUCCAUGUUAUCCAAUUGUUUCUUCUGGCGUGAAGCCUCCAUUUCCAGCUUCUCUCUCUCUUUCUGCAAGCUAAUAGCUGUCUCCCUCUCGUUUCUCAAAUCUCUAUCAAUCUUCUGAAUGUCCAACUCUGCCAAGUCCACAAUUAGCCUCACAUUAUGCUGAAGUUCUGCCAUUGGAAUAUCAUUUUCCCUUGCCUUCUGCUCUGCAUUCAGAUUCUCCAAAUUUGUUAGCACUCUCACUUGAGGUCCCCGCAUGUCAAGCACCUUCUGUACAACCUCAAAACCCUGUUCUUCCUUCUUUGCCAACAACUCCUCUGCUGUUAUAUACUCCUCUUUCUUCUUCUUCCUCCCCUUCAUCCAGAGCCUCUCCUUUGCUCUCCCUACAGCGUGACUCUGGCUCUGGUUCUCAAUCGCACUAUUAAUCUCCUCCAGCUGAGGCAACUUAGAGGACGCUUCUUUAAAAUCAUUGAAACCCAUUCCCAUAUUUUUAGGCCUCAUCUUUGCUUCAAUUGGAGCCACAAUCCCUUGCUCGUUCUUCCCCAGUCCACCUCCCUUAUACCCCAUUUUCUCCAACAAUCUCAUCCCAAUUCCUUUUGUAUGCUUCUCAAACUCCCCAACAUCCCCAGUUCUCACUUCUCUCUUUUUCCCUCCUCCCUUUUCUUUCUUUUCCAAUCUCUUCCGCUCCCUCCUUUGUGCUCCCUCUUUUAUCCUCCUCCCAAACUCAGUAGGCAAAAAAUUAUCCUCAUCCUCACUACCAACCUCAUUCUCAAACCCCUCACUCUUUUCAACCCCAUUAUUACUACCAUUAAACCCUAAUCCGGAACUAAACCCCAGCCCCGACCCUGAACCUGACCCCAAACCUGGCCUGUCAUUAUCAUCGGCAAACAUAUCAUCAACAUUCUCUUCUUUGGCAUUCUUAUCAAUUUCUUGGUUAGGCAUCACGGUACCUGUAGAGACGAAAUUGACGGGCUUAGAAAGGUCAGGCUUCCGGCCAAAAUCACGGUCUUUUCUCCGUUUACGCGAGGAAGAUGAGCCGUAGCCAAAUUCGUCAUCUGAAUCGGAAUAGUCGGCGAAAACCCCAUAGAGAACAUCAUCCUUGGUUUGCUUGCGCUUCUCUUUGCGACUCCGAUAGAAGAACUCGCCGUUUAUCCAUUGGCCGUCCUCGAAGUCGUUCUCCGUGCCAAAUCUCUCCAUCUCCUGGUAAUCGUCCAUCUUGAAUUUAAUCUCUAGCUCCCUGUUGCCUACUCUUUACUCCUCCAAUCUGGAAAAUAAAAAAUGAAUAAACGAAACCAGUAAAACCCUAGAAUCUAGUGCGCAGUUGAUUUUUAGAUAUCAGGGAAAGCCAAGGAGUGCACGGGUGAUAGUUCUAACGGAAAAUUGCUUCGCUAAAUACAUAAUUGCAU